RNAcentral lists this ribosomal RNA (467 nucleotides) under uncultured bacterium. Its description in RNAcentral is "partial 16S ribosomal RNA". It matches the Rfam family "Bacterial small subunit ribosomal RNA", at positions 28 to 507 of the family's 1533-position model. The record is from RNAcentral.
GACGAACGCUGGCGGCGUGCUUAACACAUGCAAGUCGAACGGAAAGGCCCUGCUUUUGUGGGGUGCUCGAGUGGCGAACGGGUGAGUAACACGUGAGUAACCUGCCCUUUACUUUGGGAUAACUUCAGGAAACUGGGGCUAAUACCGGAUAGGAGCUCCUGCUGCAUGGUGGGGGUUGGAAAGUUUCGGCGGUUGGGGAUGGACUCGCGGCUUAUCAGCUUGUUGGUGGGGUAGUGGCUUACCAAGGCUUUGACGGGUAGCCGGCCUGAGAGGGUGACCGGCCACAUUGGAACUGAGAUACGGCCAGACUCCUACGGGAGGCAGCAGUGGGGAAUAUUGCACAAUGGGCGGAAGCCUGAUGCAGCAACGCCGCGUGCGGGAUGACGGCCUUCGGGUUGUAAACCGCUUUCGCCUGUGACGAAGCGUGAGUGACGGUAAUGGGUAAAGAAGCACCGGCUAACUACGUG